Molecule: ribosomal RNA, 493 nt
Filed under: uncultured bacterium
Lineage: Bacteria
Description: partial 16S ribosomal RNA
Rfam family: Bacterial small subunit ribosomal RNA
Source: RNAcentral
AUUGAACGCUGGCGGCAUGCUUUACACAUGCAAGUCGAACGGUAACAGGUUAAGCUGACGAGUGGCGAACGGGUGAGUAAUGCAUCGGAACGUGCCCGAUCGUGGGGGAUAACGCAGCGAAAGCUGCGCCAAUACCGCAUACGAUCUGAGGAUGGAAGCGGGGGACCGUAAGGCCUCGCGCGAUCGGAGCGGCCGAUGUCAGAUUAGGUAGUUGGUGGGGCAAAGGCUCACCAAGCCAACGAUCUGUAGCUGGUCUGAGAGGACGACCAGCCACACUGGGAUUGAGACACGGCCCAGACUCCUACGGGAGGCAGCAGUGGGGAAUUUUGGACAAUGGGCGAAAGCCUGAUCCAGCAAUGCCGCGUGCAGGAAGAAGGCCUUCGGGUUGUAAACUGCUUUUGUACGGAGCGAAAAGGUCUCCUCUAAUACAGGGGGCUCAUGACGGUACCGUAAGAAUAAGCACCGGCUAACUACGUGCCAGCCGCCGCCGUAA